This 471-nucleotide ribosomal RNA is filed under the name uncultured bacterium. RNAcentral describes it as "bacterial SSU rRNA". It matches the Rfam family "Bacterial small subunit ribosomal RNA", at positions 26 to 507 of the family's 1533-position model. The record is from RNAcentral.
AGGACGAACGCUAGCGGCAGGCUUAAUACAUGCAAGUCAAGGGGGUAGCAAUACAACCGGCGCACGGGUGAGUAACGCGUACACAACAUACCAUAUACUGGGGUAUAGCUUUGGGAAACUGAAGGUAAUCCCCCAUAACAUUGCGAGAGGGCACCUGAUUGCAAUUAAAGUUUCGGCGGUAUAUGAUUGGUGUGCGUUUGAUUAGCUAGUUGGUAGGGUAACGGCCUACCAAGGCGACGAUCAAUAGCUGGCGUGAGAGCGCGACCAGCCACACUGGAACUGAGACACGGUCCAGACUCCUACGGGAGGCAGCAGUAGGGAAUAUUGGACAAUGGGCGCAAGCCUGAUCCAGCCAUGCCGCGUGAUAGAUGAAGGCCCUCUGGGUUGUAAAUAUCUUUUUAUCUGGGAAGAAACUCCUCUAUUCUUAGAGGCCUGACGGUACCAGAGGAAUAAGCACCGGCUAACUCCGUG